GGCGAACGGGUGAGUAACGCGUGAGCAAUCUACCUUAGUUACUGGGAUAGCCCGAGGAAACUCGGAUUAAUACCGGAUAUUCUUAUUUUUUCACAUGAAGUUUUAAGGAAAGGUCAGCCGAACUAAGAUGAGCUCGCGUUCUAUCAGCUAGUUGGUGGGGUAAAAGCCUACCAAGGCUACGACGGAUAGCUGGUCUGAGAGGACGAUCAGCCACACUGGGACUGAGACACGGCCCAGACUCCUACGGGAGGCUGCAGCAGGGAAUAUUGCGCAAUGAGCGAAAGCUUGACGCAGCGACACCGCGUGUGGGAUGACGGUUCUAGGAUUGUAAACCACUUUCAGGAGGGAAGAAAAUGACGGUACCUC
This 366-nucleotide ribosomal RNA is filed under the name uncultured bacterium. RNAcentral's name for it is "bacterial SSU rRNA". It matches the Rfam family "Bacterial small subunit ribosomal RNA", at positions 97 to 481 of the family's 1533-position model. The record is from RNAcentral.